CCGGGUCAAAUGGUCCAGAGUUUUCAGAUCCUCAAAUACCAUAUGUAUUAUUUGACUUUCAUAUUGAUUUGGUGGAUUUGAAAACUUUUCACUUAAGAACACUUG
RNAcentral lists this non-coding RNA (105 nucleotides) under Drosophila pseudoobscura. RNAcentral also lists the same sequence under 1 other name. The record is from miRBase by way of RNAcentral. Lineage: Eukaryota; Metazoa; Arthropoda; Insecta; Diptera; Drosophilidae.